RNAcentral lists this long non-coding RNA (3031 nucleotides) under Sus scrofa (pig). RNAcentral's name for it is "lncRNA (ENSSSCG00045010976.1)". The record is from RNAcentral. Lineage: Eukaryota; Metazoa; Chordata; Mammalia; Artiodactyla; Suidae.
AUGGCAUUUCCCAGGCUAGGGGUCCAAUUGGAGCUACUGCUGCUGGCCUACACCACAGCUCACGCAACACCUGAUCCUUAACCCACUGAGCAAGGCCAGGGAUCGAACCCAAAACCUCAUAGUUCCUAGUCGGAUUCAUUUCCACUGCACCAUGACGGGAAUUCCACCAAUUAUGGAAAUCUUCUAUAAUUACACCGUUCAGUGUGGCAACUACUAACCACUUGGGGCUACUUGAAAAGUGACUAGGGUGACUGAAGAACUGAAUUUUUUAAAUUUUAUUUAAUUUUAACUAAUCUUAGUACAAACUUAAAUAGCUACAUGUGGGUGGUACUACCACAGCGGACAAAGUUGUAAAGUGCUAAUGGUCCAUAUUAAUCAGGGAAAGUAUCUUACUCUAGCAUCCAGAAGCAACCAAUACUAAUUUUCUCAGAUGUCUCACUUUUUCCCUUCAUUCCCUUAAAAAGAGAGAGCUCCCCCUCUUUUUUUUUUUUUUUUGUCUUUUUGCCAUUUCUUGGGCCACUCCCGCGGCAUAUGGAGGUUCCCAGGCUAGAGGUCCAGUCGGAGCUGUAUUGUGACCUACGACACAGCAGCAGCAACACCAGAUCCUUAACCCACUAUGCUGCCCUGGGGAUUGAACUUGAGUCCCAGUGCUCCAGAGACAUAGCCAAUCCUGCUGCACCGAAGCAGCAACUCUGUCUCGUCUGCUUUUUUGUUUUUUUUCGGUCUUUUUGUCUUUUUAAGGCCACACCCUGGCAUAUGGAGGUGUGCCCCUAAAAAGCCAAAAAGUCAAAAAAAAAAAAAAAAAAUUAUCAAGUGAAAACUGCCUAAGUAUCCAUCAAAAGGGCACUGGUUAAGUAAAUUAUAAGAUGGAAUAUUACAUAAUCACUAAAAAAAAAAAAAGUUAAAGAGACUAGAAAUAUUAGGGGUUAAAAACAAGUUACACGUGAAUAUAUGUCCUUAUGUGCAGAGUACCUAGAAGAAUACUAACAGUAAUUGUACCUCAAGAGUUAGAUGAAAUAAGCUGAGACAGGAACUGAACGUUACCCCCACUGAUAGAAGAGUAAUUUUUUUCUUGCUUUUCUGGGCCACACCCACAGCAUAUGGAGGUUCUAAGGCUGGGGGUUGAAUUAGAGCUACAGCUGACAGCCUACACCACAGCCACAGCAAUGCAGGAUCCAAGGCACGUCUUCAACCAACACCAGAGCUCAGAACACCAGAUCCUUAAUCCACUGAGCAAGGCCAGGGAUCAAACCCACAAUUUCAUUGUUCCUAGUUUCCACUGCGCCACGAUGGGAACUCCCAGAAGAGUUAAUUUUCAAAAACAAAAUAUUAGGUCAGGAGAUUCCACCAUGGCUCAGAGGUAACAAACCCAACUAGAAUCCAUGAGGACUCGGAAUCGAUCCCUGGCCUCGAUCAGUGGGUUGGGAAUCUGGCGUUGCUGUGAACUGUGGUAUAGGUUAAAGCUGCAACUCAGCUCCUGCAUGGUUGUGGCAUAUGUAAGCCAGCAGCUAAAGCUCUGAUUCAACCCCCUAGCUUGGCAACUUCCAUAUGCCCCAGGUGUGGCCCUACACACACACACACACAAACAAGGUCAGUAAAGUCUUUUUGCAUAUUCCAAGAUUCUCUCUAUAAAAAAUUCCAAUCUAUGGAGGUCUGUGUGAACCUCACUCACUGUGUAGAAGAGUUAAUUUAACACAGAAGGCCAGAGAUUGCUAUGCUUAGGAAGAGCUUGCCAGGUUAGCCCUUGGAUGGUGUCAAAACUUGGAUUUUCAGACAACUAAUCCUCAGUGCUAGAACUAGUAAGAGUGGCUCACUGUGCCUAAACUGUACCCCAAAGAGGUGGUUCAUGUUGAAUACCCACCUUCCUUCUGGGAACCUGGAAUUUUGGUAUCUGGUAGGCAGAGGGUGCCGACAUGACCAACCCAGGUGACAAGUCUCUAAUGAGCUUCCCUGCCAGGCAACAUUUCAUACACAUGCGGUCACAACUGCUGGAGGAAUGAAGUGUGUCCUGUAUGACUCCACUGGGAGAGACAUUAGGAGAGGCUCAUAUGCUUGGGAGAAUGAGCCUAGCUUCCUCUGGACUUCACCCCAUAUGCAUUUUCCCUUUCCUAAUCUUGCUUUGUAUCCUUUUGUUGCAAUAAAUCAUAGCCCUGAGUACAAUUAUAUGCCAAGUUAUGGAAGUCUUUCUAGGGAAUUACUAAACCUGGGGUUGGAGGUAGUCCUGGGACCCCCACCCCAACAUACUCAUUCUACUAGUAGCCAAGAGGAAAUGCCUUCUAAACUUAACUGGGACUCAAUUUAUGGGUUUCCUUUCCACAUGUGCAGAAUUCAGUUCAGAAUUUAGUAUUUUAUCAUAAAGACAAUCCUAGAUGCUAUAUGGAUUGGCUUGGGUAUCUUUUAGGGAAUAGAGAGUAGCAGUCUUAUGAGAUGUUCACCAAAUCGGUUUCCUCUUCCUAGCUAAACAGCUAGACCGUAUUUCUCAGCCUCUCCUGCAUAGGUGUGACCAAGCCUCAAAGAAGUGCAGGCCAAAAUACUAGCCACUCCCAGACCUGAUCCAUAAAACCUCCUACUCAUGAUCAUCUGGUUCUUUCACCAACUGCCAGCUGAAUGAAUAGAACUCCCAAGACCUAGAAGAGGACAGUGCCACAGAUGGAAGGAGCCUGUGUUCUUGAAUUACUACAUAAAAGGCAACCUAAUAAACAUUCUCAAUGAAAGUUAUCUGAGUAUAAAUGUUUGCUCUGCUAAGGCACUGGUAUUUUGAGGUUGUUUGUGGCCAACACUAGCCUGCUUUGCCUACCAACAAAGGAUAUGAUCAGGUUAAAAAUUUUAGACGUGUGGAGUUCCCGUCGUGGCGCAGUGGUUAACGAAUCCGACUAGGAACCAUGAGGUUGCGGGUUCGGUCCCUGCCCUUGCUCAGUGGGUUAAAGAUCCGGCGUUGCCGUGAGCUGUGGUGUAGGUUGCAGACGCGGCUCGGAUCCCGCGUUGCUGUGGCUCUGGUGUAGGCCGGUGGCUACAGCUCUGAUUCAACCCC